UCGAACGGCAGCACGGGAGCAAUCCUGGUGGCGAGUGGCGAACGGGUGAGUAAUAUAUCGGAACGUGCCCAGUCGUGGGGGAUAACGCAGCGAAAGCUGUGCUAAUACCGCAUACGAUCUCUGGAUGAAAGCGGGGGACUUGAAAGAGCCUCGCGCGAUUGGAGCGGCCGAUAUCAGAUUAGCUAGUUGGUGGGGUAAAGGCCCACCAAGGCGACGAUCUGUAGCUGGUCUGAGAGGACGACCAGCCACACUGGAACUGAGACACGGUCCAGACUCCUACGGGAGGCAGCAGUGGGGAAUUUUGGACAAUGGGCGCAAGCCUGAUCCAGCAAUGCCGCGUGCAGGAUGAAGGCCUUCGGGUUGUAAACUGCUUUUGUACGGAGCGAAAAAGUUCUUUUUAAUAAAGAGGGCUCAUGACGGUACCGUAAGAAUAAGCACCGGCUAACUACGUGCCAGCAGCCGCGGUAAUACGUAGGGUGCAAGCGUUAAUCGGAAUUACUGGGCGUAAAGCGUGCGCAGGCGGUUUUGUAAGACAGAUGUGAAAUCCCCGGGCUCAACCUGGGACCUGCAUAUGUGACUGCAAAGCUAGAGUACGGUAGAGGGGGAUGGAAUUCCGCGUGUAGCAGUGAAAUGCGUAGAUAUGCGGAGGAACACCGAUGGCGAAGGCAAUCCCCUGGACCUGUACUGACGCUCAUGCACGAAAGCGUGGGGAGCAAACAGGAUUAGAUACCCUGGUAG
RNAcentral lists this ribosomal RNA (738 nucleotides) under uncultured bacterium. RNAcentral describes it as "bacterial SSU rRNA". It matches the Rfam family "Bacterial small subunit ribosomal RNA", at positions 62 to 793 of the family's 1533-position model. The record is from RNAcentral.